Molecule: ribosomal RNA, 253 nt
Filed under: uncultured bacterium
Lineage: Bacteria
Description: partial 16S ribosomal RNA
Rfam family: Bacterial small subunit ribosomal RNA
Source: RNAcentral
UACGUAGGGGGCAAGCGUUGUCCGGAUUUAUUGGGCGUAAAGAGCGUGUAGGCGGCCACACAGGUCUGCUGUGAAAACUCGAGGCUCAACCUCGAGCUGUCGGUGGAAACCGUGUGGCUAGAGUCCGGAAGAGGAGAGUGGAAUUCCCGGUGUAGCGGUGAAAUGCGCAGAUAUCGGGAGGAACACCGGUGGCGAAGGCGGCUCACUGGUCCGGUACUGACGCUGAGGUGGCGAAAGCGUGGGAGCAAACAGG